CUUCGAAAAGGGCAAACCCGACCGAAAGGCGGGGACGCAAAGUCGCUGGUCUAAAGAGCCUUGUGCUCCAUGACCGAGGGAUUGCCGAG
Betaproteobacteria bacterium RIFCSPLOWO2_02_64_14 is the source of this 89-nucleotide non-coding RNA. The record is from Rfam. Lineage: Bacteria; Pseudomonadati; Pseudomonadota; Betaproteobacteria.